This 440-nucleotide ribosomal RNA is filed under the name uncultured bacterium. Its description in RNAcentral is "partial 16S ribosomal RNA". It matches the Rfam family "Bacterial small subunit ribosomal RNA", at positions 338 to 795 of the family's 1533-position model. The record is from RNAcentral.
CCUACGGGAGGCUGCAGUGGGGAAUAUUGCACAAUGGGGGAAACCCUGAUGCAGCGACGCCGCGUGAGUGAAGAAGUAAUUCGUUACGGAAAGCUCUAUCAGCAGGGAAGAAAAGGACGGUACCUGAGUAAGAUGCCCCGGCCAACUACGUGCCAGCAGCCGCGGUAAUACGGAGGGUGCAAGCGUUAUCCGGAUUUACUGGGUGUAAAGGGAGCGUAGGCGGUGUGCCAAGUCUGGAGUGAAAUGCUGCAGCUUAACUGGGGAACUGCAUUGGAAACUGGCGAACUAGAGUGCGGGAGGGGUAGGCGGAAUGCGUGGUGUAGCGGUGAAAUGCGUAGAUAUUAGGAAGAACCCCGAUGGCGAAGGCAGCUUACUGGACCGUAACUGACGUUGAGGCUCGAAAGCGUGGGGAGCAAACAGGAUUAGAUACCCCUGUAGUC